Molecule: long non-coding RNA, 6120 nt
Filed under: Podarcis lilfordi (Lilford's wall lizard)
Lineage: Eukaryota; Metazoa; Chordata; Lepidosauria; Squamata; Lacertidae
Source: RNAcentral
GCGGCUGUCAGGGGUUCAGGAGCAGAGGCACAGGAAAGGGAGGAAAUAGAGAGCGAGGGGGAGGAGUCCGAAGGAAAUGUUAGCGAUGACAGCGGUCCGAGGUCUCUGAGUCUUUCCAGCGAAUCGGAAGAUUCACAGAAAGGGGCUCCCUUGGUCAGAGCAAGGGGGUGCCGAGGGGACACCCCAGGAAGAAGGGGCCAGAGGGGACUCAGAGAGCAGCAGUUGGAAAUCAGGACCAGCGUCCACACCAGAGUGCAGUAGGGGGGGAGGAGUCCCAGGCAUCGGGAUCAGGCGGCGCACUGCCAGUGGGAGGACAUGAGUCAGGAUUGGCCCCGCCUCCCUCGGGGUGCGAGGAAACGGUCGAGCGGCCGGUGGCACGCUGGGCGCGCGCGCCUAGUUCAACUGUACAGGAGGGCGGCGCAGUUGGCAGCCCGGAUAGGGAGCCAGGUCCCAAAGCCCGCCGAACAGAGGGGGAGGAGUCAGGGGGGUCAGCGUCAGAAGAAUCCAGGAAGGAAGGGACCCCGGGGGGUAGCAGGACCCAGAGGAGAAAGGAGAGGCGUAAGAGGUGGAGUAAGGCUAGAAUCUUAAACUGGUGUACAGGGGGCGGAGACUCAGAUGGAGCUUCGCCGAUCUAACCCCUAGACGUAGAGCUGGGGCGCUCCGGCUGAAAAUGGAAACUGUACUUCAAUAAAGACUUUUGCACAUUACUGCCGGCUAGCGUUGGUCCUCUGUGAGCUGGGACCUGGAGCCAGCUCUGACAGUAAGCUCCAUCUCAUAAAGUUUUGCACCAAAAACCUCGUAACGUGAGUGGACGCAGCGAGGAAGAAGAUUGGUGCUUCGCGAGCUCACAAAAGUCAGGCAAGAUGACUACAGAACAGCAACUAGCAGCCCUGCAAAAUGCAGUGACACAACUCAACGCGGAGGUACUCGCAUCCAGGAAAAGGGAAGAGGAAGCGGCUGCCGCCUGCAGGGAUCUCCAAGCCAGGUUGGAAGUGCUUGCUAAGCAGGGGCAACCGGGACCCAAAUCAGAGGGGAUUGGGCUGGGGAAAAGAGGAGGCAGCCUGGUAUCUCAUUUCGAUGGGAAUUUGCAGCAGUACCCUAACUUCCGAGCAGACGUGCUGUUUGCGCUGGAACUGCUGGAUAAAGACUUUAGAGAUGAGCAAGAGAAGGUGGGGUUUAUCUUGUCCCAUUUGCAUGGGGAAGCUAAAGCGUGGCUGCGCAAUCUGUGGAGAGAUAAGGAUCCGGCGCUCCAAAAUGCGGAUGCAUUCAUUAAAGCGAUGGAUUCGUGUUUUUAUCAAAUAUAGACAUUGAUAUCGCCAGAAAAGACAUACAUGGGCUCAAACAAGGCAGAGCCAGUGUAAGGCAGUACCAUUCCCGCUUUUUGCAUUAGUCCAUGCGCUGGGAUGGGAGAAGGAUUCUGCCCCAGCCAGAGACCUAGUUUGGGAAGGCUUGAAUGCAAAUGUGACAGCUGAGAUUGCAAGGGGGGAGAGACCAAAGAGCACUCAGGAGGUUGUCCGGCGGGCGCUGCAACUUGGGGUGCGUCUGGAAGAACGUCCAUGGAACAGAGAAGAAGGACGUUGGGGACGUACGCCAGUGAGAGCACCUCCCCUCUUUCCCAAGGAUACAGCGCGUGUGCAAUCCCCACCUCCGCAAGGAGGGAGAGCAACCGAUGGAGAUUGGAGGCGCCAGGGCUCAGUCAGCAACCAGAGCCUUAACACCGGGAGCAGUCAAGCGAAGCCUCCUAGAGGAACAGGAAGUGCUACAUCUGCGACAGUGCUCAGCACAUGGCGAAAGAGUGUCCCCAGAGGCUCCACAAGCACACUGCAGCCUCAGCAACAGUAACAGAAGCAACUCAGCAGAGAGAACCACAGCAGGGAACGACAGAGUCUGGUUGGAGGAAGAGGCACUGGGGCCCAGCCAGACAAGUCAAUGAAGCCGUCCCCAGAGAUUUUGCAGCCCACAGACCCCCUCCCGCCCAAACCAGUGGUGCAGCUCACAGCAUCGCUCCAACUACCCAAUGGACUCACUAUGGAAGUGCCGAUUACCAUUGACUCUGGUAGUAACGCAGACUUCAUAGGACUGGAUUUCCUUCAAGAGCACAACAUAGCACUCCUGCCAGCCACGCUGCCUCUGAAAGUUGUCACGGUGGAUGGCAGGGAAUUGCUGGGGGCAGGUGGUGCAGCAAACGCCUCCGAUGGUGAUGCAAAUUGGGAAUCACCGAGAAGUCAUCAGCUUCAAUGUCACCCAACUGUCGGACACGCCUAUAGUAUUAGGCAUGAGUUGGCUGCACAGGCACAGCCCAGCAUUGGCGUGGUACCAGCGACAACUGACCUUCGGCUCCUCAUACUGUGCGGAACAUUGCAUUCUGCCUAGCCCGGAGGGGAAGAGGAUGACCCGCAGCUACAAUUAGGCACGCUGCAAGCAGUGCCACUCAAAUGCGCAGCGUUUUGGAGGUUUUCUGCGAGAAGGAAGCGGACAAGCUACCUCCCACAGGUCUUAUGACUGCAAGAUUGACCUCCUGCCAGGGCGCGCUGCCAACCGGGAAACUGUAUUCCAUGUCCGAAGGCAGAGCUGCAGGAACUCAGGGAGUUCAUAGACCACACCUUGACGCGCGGUUUCAUCCGGGAGUCGAAGGCAGUGGGGGGGCAGUCCUGUAUUCUUUGUGAAGAAGAAGGACACGCCCCAAAAAAGGCUUGUGGUGGACUAUAGAAUUUUGAACUCAAAAACCAAGCCCACAGCCUUUCCCAUGCCCAAGAUAGAUGACCUGCUCGCAACGGUGAGGAAAGGACGCGUUUUCACAAAGUUGGAUCUGCUUGGCGUACAGCCAGAUUCGCAGACGGGAGGGCGGCGAAUGGAAGACUGCCAUGUUCACGCCCCUGGGCACCUAUGAAUACAGAGUUAUGCCCUUUGGAUUACAAAAUGGCUCCCACUGUUUUCAAGCCUUCAUGCAUCACGUAUUGGCGGGUCUCCUCUACAAGAAAUGCGUCUGCUUCCUGGACGACAUCCUGAUAUUUUCAGAAUCAGAGGAGGCCCACGAGGGAGACGUCAAGGAAGUUCUGCAGAGACUGCAGGAGCACAGGCUGUACGCCAAGCUGGAAAAGUGCCAGUUCGACAUGAAGGAAGUAGAUUUCCUGGGCUACAAGUUGUCGGACAAGGGGCUCGCCAUGGACAGCGCCAAGGUUCGCUCAGUGUUGGACUGGAAGAGCCCGCGCAAUCGGAAGGAGGUCCAACGGUUUGUCGGUUUCGCCAACUUUUACACGCAAGUUCAUCAAGGGGUUCGCGAUGCAGGCGGCAGCCAUUACCGACACACUCAGCUCCAAGAAGAAGAAGUUCAUCUGGACCGAGACAGCGGAACAGUCCUUCCAGAAACUCAAGCGUCUCUUCUCGUCCGAAGAGCAGCUACUGCAUGUGAAUCCCAGCAGACCGAUGAGGGUUGAAACGGACGCCUCAGACAGAGCCGUGGGAGCAGUACUGUUGCAGCAAGACCCGCAUGGGGACUGGAGACCGUGUGCCUUCUACUCCAGGAAGCUCAGCAAGUCAGAGCAGAACUACACCAUCUGGGACAGGGAGUUGCUGGCCAUUCAUGCAGCAUUCAAGGCGUGGCGGCACUUCCUCAUUGGAGCCAAACACACAGUGCAGGUCCGCACGGACCAUAAAAACCUGGAGUACUGGCGCACGGCAAGGUUCCUGAACCAGAGGCACAUACGAUGGGCGGAGUUCUUUGCGGAUUUCGACUUCAGGAUAGAGUACAUCCCAGGCGACAACAACAUCAUGGCGGAUGCACUGUCCAGAAAGCCGCAAUACCUCGAGAGCGGCACCAGCAGCGGCCAAGCACAUUUCGCACCGAGCGUGGGCGUGCGCUUCAGCAACCGUGGACCUGGAUGCUGUACGUCGAGCACUGCAGGAGGACCCCUUCGCGCAAGCAAAGAUGGCAGAGGUGCAAAGGGGCACGGCGGAGGACGGCGAGUUCCAGAUGCGCGACGGAUUGCUCAUCCGCAGAGGGCCCUCUACGUGCCGGGAGACGACCUCCGCGAAAGUACUGCAGCAGUUGCACGACGCACCCACCGCCGGGCACUUUGGCAAGAGAAGACGGUAGAAUUAGUAGCCAGAGAUUUUGGUGGCCCAAGAUGCGGGGAAGUCGCGGAUUACGUCUCGAGGUGCGACACCUGCCAAAGGGCCAAGUCAGUGCACAAACCGCCGGCGGGACUGCUCGAACCGCUGCAGACACCGAUCGAACCGUGGGAGAGGGUGGCCCUGGACUUUGUCACGGAUCUACCCAGCUCGAGGGCAAGGCGGCAGUGCUAGUGGUGGUGGACAUGUUCACCAAAAUGGCCCACUUCAUUCCGUGCGCGAAGGUGGCCACGGCGGAACAGACCGCCAAACUGUUCAUAGACCACGUGUUCAGGGUUCCACGGUCUGCCACGGUCUAUCCUGUCCGACCGGGGCGACAGUUCAUCUCGAACUUCUGGCAGAAGCUGAUGGGUUUCCUGAACGUCAAGAUCAACCUAGCGUCGGCGAGACACCCGCAGGCGAACGGACAAGCGGAGCGAGUCAGCGCCAUCAUGCAGCAGUACCUGCGAUGCUACGCAAAUCAGCAGCCGGCAACAUGGGUGGACUACCUGCCGCUCGCUGAGUUCGCCUACAACAACACGAAGCACGUGUCCACGGGGGUGACACCGUUCUUCGCCAACAACGGGAGGCAUCCCAGAACCUCCCGGGAUUAGCGAGAGAGGGGGAGGGAGCCACAGGCAGCGGAAGCCUUAGCAUCAGAGUUGCAGGAGGUUCACGAACAGCCGGAGGCAGUUAGAACUAGCAAAGCACGCAUACAAACUGCAGGCUGACAAGCACAGAAGGGUUGGGGAAGACAUACAGGUGGGAGACUGGGUUUGGUUAGCAGCCCAGGCAGUGCCGGCCAGAUCGUUAGCGAAGAAGAAGCUAGGGCAUAAGCAGCUAGGACCCUACCAGGUCGAGGCACAGGUCAAUCCAGUGGCCUUCCGGUUGACACUGCCGGAGGGAUCCAGAAUGCACCCAGUUUUCCAUAGAUCAGUGCUCACGCCCUACAAAGCACCUCAUAGAUUUCAGGAGCCAGGAACGGCACCAGACCCGUUCAGGUAAACGCCCACAAGGGGGGGGGUCGCCAAGGCGGGAACCCGUCAACGAAGUCACAGAGAUUUUAGACUCGAGAUGGGGGAGGAGGAGUGGAAUACCUCCUCGCCAAGGAAGGUACCCCGGCUAGCGCCAACAGUUGGGUGCCAGAUUAUGCUCUGGAGGAAUCUUGGCUUAGGACGAGUUCCAUGCCCUUUUCCCACACAGGCCCAUGCCAGCCGAGUAUUUCGACGACUGGCUUUUCACACCCACAUUUUCAGCUAGCACAUUCCAGGGGUUCACCUCGGACGAGGAACCGGCACUAGAAACACGUUCCCCGGAGGGAUCACCCUCGGGGUCUGCCUCAGACCGUUCCUAUUGGUGGGACAAUCAACCAGAGGAGCAGUGGCGCAGGAAGUGGUUGGGGGGGUCCUUGGCAGGCAACGUCCCCGGAGGAGACCGGGGGAGAGACGGACAUGGACGUGUUGGGGGAGGACCUUGGGUUCGAGCACGGCGGCAAAGAGAUGGAAGCAGAGGACAUUGAGGUCGGCGAGGCACGGAGGGCGAGCCGGACUUAUCCGGCUGGAUGCACGCCACGGGGGACGAGACUGUAUCCGGCACUCACCCCCACAACGACGGAGCCCCCAGUACCCACACCUGAAGGAGGGGAGGGGAAGGGGGGCUUCGAGGGGAUGGAUGUCAGGGGUUCAGGAGCAGAGGCACAGGAAAGGGAGGAAAUAGAGAGCGAGGGGAGGAGUCCGAAGGAAAUGUUAGCGAUGACAGCGGUCCGAGGUCUCUGAGUCUUUCCAGCGAAUCGGAAGAUUCACAGAAAGGGGCUCCCUUGGUCAGAGCAAGGGGGUGCCGAGGGGACACCCCAGGAAGAAGGGGCCAGAGGGGACUCAGAGAGCAGCAGUUGGAAAUCAGGACCAGCGUCCACACCAGAGUGCAGUAGGGGAGGAGUCCCAGGCAUCGGGAUCAGGCGGCGCACUGCCAGUGGGAGGACAUGAGUCAGGAUUGGCCACGCCUCCAUCGGGG